This 74-nucleotide transfer RNA is filed under the name Trichodesmium erythraeum IMS101. Its description in RNAcentral is "tRNA-Asp (GTC) (tRNA-Asp-GTC-1-1)". It matches the Rfam family "tRNA". From Rfam's summary of the family: Transfer RNA (tRNA) molecules are approximately 80 nucleotides in length. Their secondary structure includes four short double-helical elements and three loops (D, anti-codon, and T loops). Further hydrogen bonds mediate the characteristic L-shaped molecular structure. tRNAs have two regions of fundamental functional importance: the anti-codon, which is responsible for specific mRNA codon recognition, and the 3' end, to which the tRNAs corresponding amino acid is attached (by aminoacyl-tRNA synthetases). tRNAs cope with the degeneracy of the genetic code in two manners: having more than one tRNA (with a specific anti-codon) for a particular amino acid; and 'wobble' base-pairing, i.e. permitting non-standard base-pairing at the 3rd anti-codon position. RNAcentral also lists the same sequence under 30 other names. Lineage: Bacteria; Bacillati; Cyanobacteriota; Cyanophyceae; Oscillatoriales; Microcoleaceae. The record is from RNAcentral.
GGGACUGUAGUUCAAUUGGUUAGAGCACUGCCCUGUCACGGCAGAAGUUGCGGGUUCGAGCCCCGUCAGUCCCG